This 318-nucleotide long non-coding RNA is filed under the name Homo sapiens (human). RNAcentral describes it as "non-protein coding LCMT1-AS1:8". Lineage: Eukaryota; Metazoa; Chordata; Mammalia; Primates; Hominidae. The record is from RNAcentral.
GGAGAAGUCGCCCGGUUUCUGCUUGCUGGUCGCGAAAUUUUAUAGCUAUAAUUAACUCAGGGCGGAACAGCUAGCAGAAUCCUCAGCGUUCGGGCAAAGGGCAGAGAAUCCAGCCAGAAGCAACAUGUGUAAGUUGUUACAUUCAGUCCGGGCUCAGUGUCAUUCAAUUUUACAAAAUUUUGUUGUGUGCUGACUCUGCCAGCGACUGUGCUGAGGGCUUUGCCCCCAAAAUUGCCUUCGAAAUGUAGUGAGGGGGGCGGGCGUAGUGGCUCACUCCUGUAAUCCCACCACUGUGGGAAGCCGAGGCGGGCCGAUCAC